ACCUGAAUGAUUCGUGGAAAUUAGAAUGUGGGGAUCUCAAAGAAUGUUUCACAAGAAAAACAAAUAUUGGCCAUUUCCAAACUUGCUCGGUGGUCGAGGUACUAUAGAGGACAUCAGUAGAAUGAAAGCAAGAGCAACCUGACAACAUUAUUGAUAGUCAACUUCCAUUAUCAGCAGCUUCACACGUGUAUAUCUUUCUUUUGGAAAUGGAAGUUGCUGUUUCUUCCCAGGUGAGCUGAGAACUAGGAAGGUGCGGAUAAUAAGAGUUGUUGACAGAGGCAACCUGCACAUGUGUAAACAGUGGCUAUGGUGGCUCAAAGGGAAGCAGCGGCUGCUCCAUGGAAACACGCAACUUAGUGAUCUAAGAUCAAUCUUCCUAUUCAUUCAUUGCACGCUGUUAUUCUGUAGGACCGGCGAAGUGC
This is a long non-coding RNA of Triticum aestivum (bread wheat), 422 nucleotides long. RefSeq lists it as uncharacterized. The record is from RefSeq and is a predicted model, not a curated record. The transcript is spliced from 4 exons. Lineage: Eukaryota; Viridiplantae; Streptophyta; Magnoliopsida; Poales; Poaceae.